AGGACGAACGCUGGCGGCGUGCUUAACACAUGCAAGUCGAGCGGAAAGGCCCUUCGGGGUACUCGAGCGGCGAACGGGUGAGUAACACGUGGGUAACCUGCCCCUUGCUCUGGGAUAACUCCGGGAAACCGGGGCUAAUACCGGAUAUGACACUCGCAGGCAUCUGCUGGGUGUGGAAAGUUUUUUCGGCGAGGGAUGGGCCCGCGGCCUAUCAGCUUGUUGGUGGGGUGAUGGCCUACCAAGGCGACGACGGGUA
RNAcentral lists this ribosomal RNA (256 nucleotides) under uncultured bacterium. Its description in RNAcentral is "partial small subunit ribosomal RNA". It matches the Rfam family "Bacterial small subunit ribosomal RNA", at positions 26 to 285 of the family's 1533-position model. The record is from RNAcentral.